This 571-nucleotide ribosomal RNA is filed under the name uncultured bacterium. RNAcentral's name for it is "partial 16S ribosomal RNA". It matches the Rfam family "Bacterial small subunit ribosomal RNA", at positions 355 to 919 of the family's 1533-position model. The record is from RNAcentral.
UGGGGAAUUUUGGACAAUGGGCGCAAGCCUGAUCCAGCCGUGCCGCGUGCGGGAAGAAGGCCUUCGGGUUGUAAACCGCUUUUGUCAGGGAAGAAAUCUUCUGAGUUAAUACCUCGGGAGGAUGACGGUACCUGAAGAAUAAGCACCGGCUAACUACGUGCCAGCAGCCGCGGUAAUACGUAGGGUGCAAGCGUUAAUCGGAAUUACUGGGCGUAAAGCGUGCGCAGGCGGUUUUGUAAGACAGAGGUGAAAUCCCCGGGCUCAACCUGGGAACUGCCUUUGUGACUGCAAGGCUUGAGUGCGGCAGAGGGGGAUGGAAUUCCGCGUGUAGCAGUGAAAUGCGUAGAUAUGCGGAGGAACACCGAUGGCGAAGGCAAUCCCCUGGGCCUGCACUGACGCUCAUGCACGAAAGCGUGGGGAGCAAACAGGAUUAGAUACCCUGGUAGUCCACGCCCUAAACGAUGUCAACUGGUUGUUGGGAAGGUUCCUUCUCAGUAACGUAGCUAACGCGUGAAGUUGACCGCCUGGGGAGUACGGCCGCAAGGUUGAAACUUAAAGGAAUUGACGGGGU